UGAGCCUCUCCUUCCCUCCAG
Molecule: microRNA, 21 nt
Filed under: Homo sapiens (human)
Lineage: Eukaryota; Metazoa; Chordata; Mammalia; Primates; Hominidae
Description: hsa-miR-6823-3p
Source: miRBase by way of RNAcentral